UUGAUGGUGCUUUCAUUCAGAUGUGCAUAAUCAGCAUCUGACAGGUGUCUUUUUGUGAAUUGUUGUAUUCUCUCCAACUCUUUUUGUGAUGAUGUGUCAUCAGGUACUCUGCCAUGAGGACGUCUGGACAGUCCGUCCGCGUCUUGACUCUGCUUACCAGCUCUGUACUGUAGCUGGAAAUCGAAUGUCGACAGAGCGGCCAACCAUCUGUAGCUCGUGGCAUCGAGCUUAGCUGAGGUAAGAAUGUAUGUUAAUGGAUUGCUAUCUGUGACAGCAAGGAAUGUGUUUCCGUACAGGUAAUCCUGGAAUUUCUCUGUUACUGCCCACUUAAGGGCAAGAAAUUCUAGCUUAUGUGCAGGAUACCUGGACUCACACUUCGACAGACCUUGGCUCGCAUAAGCAAUGACACGCUGCUGUCCUUGUUGCUCCUGGUAGAGAGCACCGAGGCCCAAAGUGCUUGCAUCUGUAUGUAAAAUGUAGGAGAGCUUGGGGUCAGCAAACCCAAGGAUUGGUGCGGUUGUCAGCUUUUCGAUUAUGGUGUCGAACGCUGCUUGGCAAGCAGGUGUCCAUCUGUCACCAAAGAUGUCCUUUGGAUUGAAAUACUUCUCAGGAUUCACUGUGGUUUUAGAAUGCUUCCUUAGCGGUGGAUAGCCAGCAGUGAGGUCGUUGAGUGGCUUCACGAUCUUUGAGUAGUCUUUAAUGAACCGGCGGUAGUAACCGCAGAAACCCAGGAAGGUUCUUAGCUCUUUCAAGUUGUUUGGUUUUGGCCAGGUUUUUAAUGCUGCUAUUUUAUCAGGGUCGGUCUCGACGCCCUUUUCAGACACAAUGUGGCCGAGGUACUUUACAGAAGUUUGGUAGAACUUGCAUUUCUCUGGUGACAGUUUCAAGCCAAACUCUUUCAAUCGGUUGAGCACGCGCAUCAACCUUUCUUCGUGCUCCUCUAAUGUAGAGGAGAAGAUAAUGAGGUCAUCCAGGAAGACUAGGGCUUCCUUCAAAUUUAACUCUCCCAUACAGCGCUCCAUAAGUCUCUGGAACGUGCUAGGGGUUGGUUAUCCCCUGAGGCAUCCUGUUGAAUUCGAAGAAUCCUAGAGGACAGACAAAUGCGGUUUUGUGUUUGUCUGCUUCCUCCAUCUCUAUUUGAUAGAAGCCUGAUUUCAGAUCGAGCACUGAGAACCACCUGGACCCGGUCAAUGCUGAGAAGGAUUCUUCCAGAUUAGAAAGGUGACUCCGAUUCACGGAUGACUUCUGCAUCGAGGAGUUGCUGGAGAUGGACCUGUGAUCAGGAGCUGGCUGAGAUGAGCCGCAGUCUUCUUCACCCUGCACAUAAACACCUUGAUAAUGAGAAGACACUUUUGGCUUUGAAGCACUGAAGUGCUGUUUCAUGCGUGAAGCUUUGGAAGAACGUUUAUCUUCUGCUGUGCGGAGUAACAGGAGAAGUUCAGCAAAGGUAGGUGGAUUCUGCUUCUUUUGUUCUAGCUGGAGUUCAGCUAUCAAGAUGUCAUCCCAGCAGCCUCUGACAAACUGUCUGAGAAGGUGCCGGUUAAGGUCAUUUGCAGUUACACCUCCCCUUCUGAGGGUGGUGCUCAGCAUCACCUGCAGCCGUUGUAGAUAAGCUGAAGGUUUUUCACCAUUAUUCUGCAUUGUGUUGAGAUACUUUGCAAAGAGGUCAUCUCCAUCCUCGACUGUGCCGAAAGCAGAGUCCAAGAUCUCCAAGUAUGCAUCAAGAGGAGAAUCAGGUGUCAGGUGCCUCACAAUAUCAAUGGCGGGUGAUAAGAGACUUUCGAGAAGCUUUCGUGACUUGUAAAGAUCAGACUGUGUUGUAUCUUUAAGAAGAAGUUCCACAUUGGAGCGCCAUGUCUCAUAAUCCACUUCACUGUUGAGACGUGGGACACGCCCAGAGAAGGGUCUGAGUCUCAAGGAAGUGUGCACCUGCAGAGCAGAGUCUUCAUUUCUUAUUAUGUGCUCAACGAUUACUUUUUGUAUGUCAGGUGGAUUGACAUCAGAAAGUUUCAGAGCAGGCUGUGUCUUUUCUUGAGAUGGUGUCGAUGGUGGAAACCAAUGAUGUUGAACACGCUGCUGCAAGACCAUACUGGGCAGGGGGGUUACCUGUACAGCAUUUUCAGGGGCAUGUUGUUCUGCUCUGCAUCUUCAUCUUGGGACUCUGAGUGAUCUAGUUCGACAGUCUCACCGAUGAGGGAGAGCUCUUCUCUGAGGACAACUGCAAAGCCUUUACCAGUCUGUUUUGCAAUGUCUUUUAACUGUGAAAGGUAAGUCUGUGUAGCUGUCUUGCUAGCUACGGGUGUGUAAACAUUAGCUAGGGCUCUGAUGUGGUAGGUGACAUCAGUCUUAGUCUUACUGUUAAGCCUGUAUGGCAAUGAAGGUAAGAGAGAUUGCAUAGCUGUACCAUACACAUACUCUACGAUAACCUAUUUGGCUGAAUCUGGUUCAGUGAGAUCCACUGGGAUUACUCUUUGAAUGGAACCAUAUUGUCCCAAGAAGUCGCUUAGUUCGUCAUCAGUUUCUGUAUUGGUCAUGCCGCUAACUAUGACAGAGUUAGGGAAAUUUACAUUACUUGUUUGAACGAUAUCCAUGUUUUUUUUUAACACUGAUAAUAUUAUAUGGUCUCUGGUUUCUAGUUAAAGUGCUUUAAGCCACUCCUGGCUGGCUCACCAAGUUUGUAGCACUGGUAUCCCACUGCUAACCGCGCCACUGGACCAGUUCUAGGCUCUAAGGAGUGGGGAGCAAGAAUAACAGCAUCAGAGACCGCUGCUUAAGUGUAAUAAACUAAUAAUUUACUAAAUGUAAAACACAAAAAUAAGAUGCAACACAUAAACAAAGAAAACUCUACAGAUUCUCAAUAAGAAGGUAAAUGAAACAAAAAAAAAGAAAAUAAAGAAUAUAUCACUCUUCACCAAAAUUAAAUACAAUUAUU
This is a long non-coding RNA of Poeciliopsis prolifica (blackstripe livebearer), 2932 nucleotides long. RefSeq lists it as uncharacterized. The record is from RefSeq and is a predicted model, not a curated record. The transcript has 3 exons. Lineage: Eukaryota; Metazoa; Chordata; Actinopteri; Cyprinodontiformes; Poeciliidae.